Schizosaccharomyces pombe (fission yeast) is the source of this 878-nucleotide non-coding RNA. The record is from the annotation of a GenBank genome assembly. Lineage: Eukaryota; Fungi; Ascomycota; Schizosaccharomycetes; Schizosaccharomycetales; Schizosaccharomycetaceae.
UCGGGACAAAUAGUAAGAACCGAUUGCACGAGCUAAAUCUUCAGAGGUAGAGUUGCGACCAAAUACUUCAAUGAACUUACCCUCUGGAUCCAUCAAGUAGAAGAAUACCGAGUGGUCAACCAGAUAAUCAUCCUUUUUAGGGUCAAUGUUCUUAGGGGUAGAAAAAUAGACUCGGAAUUUUUUACAAAUAUCUUUUAUUUCUUCAUAGGAUCCUGUGAGACCAACGAUUUUAGGAUUGAAAUCUUCAAGGUAUUCAGCCAUUUCUUGCGGAGGAUCACGGGCUGGAUCACAGGUUAUGAAAAUAGGAUAAACCACGUCUCCAACAACAUUGUUUACAAUAUCAAUAGCUGCUGACAUUUUGUCGAGCUCGUCGGGGCAAAUGUCGGGGCAUCUGGUGAAACCAAAGUAGAUUAAGGAAAAUUUUCCCUUGAAAUCGUUAUCAGUAACUCGAUUUCCAUGAUGAUCAAUUAAAGAAAAAGCACCUCCUAAUUGGGGACGACCUAUGGUAGCCAAAACCUUGUCGUUUUGCCUCUCCAACACUUUUUUCUUUUCAUGUUGGAAAUAAGCAUAAAGGCCAACGCUUGUUGCAGCUGCAAGAAGCAAUGCUCUUAUAGAAAUCAUUCCACGCCAUGAUUGGUAUGUCUGCGUUCGAUUGUCAGUAGCUAGAUUUUUGCGACCGUCGGCAAAACGCGCUAGGCACGUACGAUUCAAAGGAAAUCGAGGACGAAUCAAGCUGUAAUGACAAUGCCUAGAGAAAACUAAACCCCUUCGAAACAUUACUUGAUUUGAGUGAUUGCCAACAAUCGAUUCAAAAAUCGUAAUAUUUGGACAAGACAAAAAACUGAAGUUAAAACAGUAACAAAAGUAUAACCAAGACU